GAUGAAGAACGUAGUGAACGUGCGAAACGUAAUGUGAAUUGCAGAAUUCAGUGAAUCAUCGAAUCUUUGAACGCAUCUUGCGCUCCUUGGUAUUCCGAGGAGCAUGCCUGUUUGAGUGUCGUGAAUACUCUCAACUUCAACCCUUUUUUCGGAAAGGGAGGAAGGUUGGACUUGGGUGUUUGUUGAAGUGCGAGCUUCGACUCAUCCUAAAUGCAUUAGCGAUCUGCCUCGAUCACACACAAUGUGAUAAUUAAAACUAAAGCAUUGUUUAAUGAUCAAGUCGAGACUGCUUCUAGCUGUCGCAAGACAAUAACGUGCAUACAUUUGUGCAUGUCAUUUGACCUCAAAUCAGGUAGGACUACCCGAUGAACUUAAGCAUAUCAAAAGCGGAGGA
Molecule: unclassified non-coding RNA, 394 nt
Filed under: soil metagenome
Description: partial contains 5.8S ribosomal RNA, internal transcribed spacer 2, and large subunit ribosomal RNA
Rfam family: 5.8S ribosomal RNA (bases 1-121)
Source: RNAcentral